Molecule: ribosomal RNA, 903 nt
Filed under: uncultured marine bacterium
Lineage: Bacteria
Description: bacterial SSU rRNA
Rfam family: Bacterial small subunit ribosomal RNA
Source: RNAcentral
AGAGUUUGAUCCUGGCUCAGGACGAACGCUGGCGGUGCGCCUUAUGCAUGCAAGUCGAGCGAAGCUUUUCAGUAGUUUACUACAGAAAAUGACUGAGCGGCGAACGGGUGAGUAACGCGUGAGCAAUCUACCUUAGUUACAGGGAUAGCCCGAGGAAACUCGGAUUAAUACCUGAUAUUCUUUAUUUCUCGCAUGAGAAUAAAAGGAAAGGUCAGCCGAACUAAGAUGAGCUCGCGUUCUAUCAGCUAGUUGGUGAGGUAAAAGCACACCAAGGCUACGACGGAUAGCUGGUCUGAGAGGACGAUCAGCCACACUGGGACUGAGACACGGCCCAGACUCCUACGGGAGGCUGCAGCAGGGAAUAUUGUGCAAUGAACGAAAGUUUGACACAGCGACACCGCGUGUGGGAUGACGGAUCUAGGUUUGUAAACCACUUUCAGGAGGGAAGAAAAUGACGGUACCUCCAUAAGAAGCCCCGGCCAACUACGUGCCAGCAGCCGCGGUAAUACGUAGGGGGCGAGCGUUGUCCGGAUUUAUUGGGCGUAAAGAGCUCGUAGGCGGUUCAACAAGUCGGUCGUGAAAGUUCAGGGCUCAACCCUGAAAUGUCGAUCGAUACUGUUGUGACUAGGAUACGGUAGAGGUGAGUGGAAUUCCGAGUGUAGCGGUGAAAUGCGUAGAUAUUCGGAGGAACACCAAUUGCGAAGGCAGCUCACUGGGCCGCUAUCGACGCUGAGGAGCGAAAGCUAGGGGAGCAAACAGGAUUAGAUACCCUGGUAGUCCUAGCUGUAAACGAUGGAUACUAGACGUACGAACUGGAUUGACGGUUUCUGUGUCGCAGCUAACGCGUUAAGUAUCCCGCCUGGGGAGUACGGUCGCAAGACUAAAACUCAAAGGAAUUGACGG